AUGUUUCGAUCAUUUCUAGUUUAGUAGUACUCAUGUAUGUUCACUAUCUUGCUCUUCAAAAGAUUGUACCCUUUCAAUUUAUUGAAUACUAUGAUAUCCUGCUACUUGUAGUAAUUUCUUCUCUUUUUUCCAGUUUUAUCUCUGUUUACCCUCAAAAUCCGAUAACAAUUGAAUUUGUAAGUGAUUUUAAGGAUACGUGGACUAACUUGACACAAAACGAUAAAUUAGGUUGCAAUUAAAAUAAAUAAUGAUAAAGUAAAUACAAACCACACGAAUUGAAUGAUCUUAGCCUUGGGAGGUUAAUCACCCUAGAAUUAGGUACGCUCCGAUCGGUGCCAGGAUGCCAAAGAACAAGAGCUUAAAAUAAUAAUGGUAUAUAGCUUUGGAAUGCGUGUUACAAUGUAUCUAAUGAAUUAUCAAACCCCCUUUUAUAUAGUAGAUGAGUCCUACUUUAGGUAAAAUUCUAUAAAAGAUAAAAAAUCUCUUGAUUUGAUGAUUGUCGGUGCCUUGUUGAUACGUGUCGAGAUUUCCGCCGUAAUAUCCGACCGGUCACAGAUAUUUCGAUCUUCUAUUGGUUAUGCCAACAACGUUUCUUCGAGCUCGAUCGGGGCUAAGGUCGACUCCGUGAUUACGGACUCAAUGUUCUCGAAGGCGGGCGUUAUGACCCCGGGUUCUAGCUCGGUGGGACUCGGGGUCGAUCUUCAGUCUUUGGUUGUCAUGUUCCUAACCUGCCAUGUUGUUGGAGAGCUCGAUUUCGACCGUACAUAGAUAGUCUCCUCAUUUUUCGAAGAGUAGAUGACGAGAAAUGACAUGAGCUUCCGAUUCUUUCUUUGAUAUCACCCGACAGAAAUGACAAAAACAUCAAAAUGUCUCGUCUGUCAAGUCUUAAUGGCAUUAAACGCUUGUCAGUUGCUGGUCGGCCACUCCUAGAUGUGAAUCGUCGUUGGAAAACUAUAAAUACCCCCUCAUUUGUUCAUCCAAACUUUACAUUCAAACCUUCUGCCCUCGUUCCUAAGAAAUUUCAAUACUUCCAAGUACUUACAUUCUUGUUACUUUGAGAUUUUUUAUAAGAACUCUCAUUCGAAUUUUUCUCAAACCACUGAGUGUACUCUUUUAACUUCCUUUUUUUCCUUAUUUCCUCUCUAUAAAGAAAUGGCAAAAACUUCCAAAACCGUUCCCCAAAAAGAAAAUCCUUCUACCUCGCGGCCGGCUACCGAAGAGACCAUUUCAUGAACUACUGUCGAGGAGCCAGCACUGGAACCUCCUCUAAAAAAGUUCAUCCCGGGGGGGUGCCCGGUAAAUGCUGAUUUUAAAGUCGAAAAGCCUUCCUCCGUACCAAGCUGGUGUGAGGAGGUCUCGAGGUACAUCUACUCGAUCACCGAGGAUAUUCUAUCCGAAGUCAAGAAGGAUUGCAACUGGGCCGACAAGCAUGUGGUGGUUCCCGAACCUGACGAAGUUAUCACCACCCACGUCGAGGGAUUCUUAAGUGUUUAUACUUAUCCCUUCACGUUGGGCCCCUUGAACCCGGUUAUUGUCGAUUUCUGCAAAAGAUACGAGGUAAUCCUUGGUCAAAUUCACCAUUCUUUCUGGAGGAUCAUAAUCCUCCUCCGUUUCUUUGUAAGCAAGAUCAAAGGGUGCCCUUUCACGAUCGAUCACCUCAUGCGCUUAUACAGUCCCCGACUCUAUCGGGGGGACUGAUCAAGCUCGCCCGUUCGGCGAGUAAGGCUGCAUUCUCGAGUAUCAAUAAAGAUAGGGAUCGAGGUUGGCUAGGUCGUUUCGUCCUAGUGAGGACCUCGGACUAGAUCCCGAUCGAGCACAUGUCAUUCCAUGAGAAGUGGAACAUGAAACGUAAGUAUAUGAUUUUGCUUCCAAGGUUUUAUUUAUCGCCCUUUUUCUUCCUUCUUAUCGGUGUUCUGUGAUGGUGCAGUUGUUGCUCGGAUCCCAAACGCAGUUCCUCGACUCAAGGAGUGGGUCGAGGGUAUCGUAUCGCAAAGGCCUUAUUCCGAGCGCUCGUGGCACAAGCUUUCAAAGGGCCGGUGGGAGGCUCGUUCGCACGGUGAGAUCUAUUUCAUAAGUGAUACUUGAUUUUCCCUUUGCAUGAUUAAGUCCUUACUUGUUUUAUUUACCUUUGCAGGUUUACCCAAGAAUGUCCAAAUGAGGCCCCCAUCCGGUAGUGAUGAUUUUCCCACUGAGUCCCCUGCACCGAAACAGGGUGAAGAGAAAAAGAGAAAAAGGGCUCAGAGUUCUCCGAGCUCGGAGAAAAAGAAACCAAAGAGGAGGCUUAUCCGCAAGCCAAAAGAAACCUCCCGAAUACUUGAUUCGGAAUCCCUCUACCAGCUCAGUCAUGAGUCUGAAGAGGAGGAAAUUUUAGUGGCCCGGGAGCCAUCAGUCCCCGAAGAAUGGGCAUCAACCAGGGGAGGGGGGCAAUAGAGGCCAAUCGUUCCCAAACUCAAGAGGUCGAUGCAUUAGUGAGGGUCAAGAACCCUCAAGACGCCAGUUCUGCUCCACCCGGUGUCAUCGAUAUAACGGGAUUGCCUUCAUUCACGGACUCAAUGUUCGGUGAAUCUCAAGCAGCAAAGGAGCGUUCAAAUGAGGGGGUCCAAGGAGCGAACGAUCCCCCCCAAAGAUUUUUUGAUGGCGUGGAUCUCUAUUACCACAAAGGAUGUCACUGGUUUGGGUGAUUUGGAAGUACCAAGAAGAAGUCCACCCUCGGGGAUAGGUGGAUCUAGCUCGAGCCCGAAAUUUGUCAACCGAUUCCCUACCCCGAGUGUCGAUCCCGGUCGGAAGCGGUCGAUCAUUAUCUCUAUUCCGGAGGACGCCCGGGUCCUUUCCCUGCCUGUUGGGGUAGCUAGUUACCUCUGAUGCCUGGUGACUGAAGAAGAUCAGUCAAAGAUAAAUGAGGUGGAAUCUCCAUGCUUGUUCAACGAAGCACAACAAGCAUUGAAUCGGGUAAGGUGUUACCAAACCUUUUCAUUUUCCAUCUUUGGUUACUUAAUAAACCUAAUAUUUUUCCUUGUAUCUGCAGGCCUCGGUGCUUCACCGUGAGACCUUCCUCCGAUAUCGAGAAGAGUUGAGUCUCCUCGAGGCCGAAGCCAAAGAGCUUACUGAGAAGAGAGAGAUAUACAAACUUCUUAGUGAGUAAUGUGAGGGGGAGGUUAAGAGCCUCCGAGCUGAGCUGGAGGUGGCUCAAAAGUAGCAUGCCGACUUGGUCGAGCAGGUAAAAAUAUUUGAGGUUAGUGAUGAAGAGCUAAGCUCGGUGACUAACGGCCGGAAUCUGCAGGUCCAACAAAACAUCGAUCAACUGCGAGCUGAGAUGGAUAUUGUCAAGGCCGAGACCGAUGAAUGGAGGGGCAGGAUGGAUCGUCUGGCCUUGGAAAAAGAGGUUGCUCGGGCGCAACUGACUUCGGCCGAGGUCCAGCUUCGAGAAGCAAAGGAAAAGGUCGAGGUGCAGGACAAAAAGGUUGAAGAGCUCUAGUCUCAGCUAAGUUCGGCUGUCUCUGAUCUAAAAGUUAUGGCCAAGGAACUAGAAACGGCCUAGUCAGCAGCCCCGGUGGUUAAAGCCAACGCCGACGAGAUGGUGGCCCAAUAUAAGGCCGAUGCCGAGGCAGCCCAGGACCGCUUGAAGGACAUUGUUGAUUAUCAGAAGCGACAGUCGUUAAGAGAGGCCCUCGAUGAGAUUCAUGCUUGGGGUUUCGAUCUAUAGGCCGAGAUUGAAGCCGCUAAGAGGCUCGAGGCCGAGGCCAAGAAGUUGGCCUACCGAAGAAGAAGAAGAAGAAGAAGAAGAAGAAGAAGAAGAAGAAGAAGAGGGCUCUGAUGGACCCGGAGGUGGAGAAGACCAGGCUAUUUAGAUGCCUUUAUUAAAACAUAUUUGCUUUUUUAUUUUUUUGUACUUGUGUACUUUUGUAUUUUUGUUAGGGCUAUUUGGCCUUUGUAAAGACUGUAUAUAAUAUACAAGGCUUUGCUUUUCCCUUCGACAGUUUAAGAAUUUCGCUUUCCUUUCCUUUAUUCAUUAUGUUUUGCAAAGAUCUAAAUGCCUUAGCAUAGAAUAGUUAAGUCAUGUUCGGAGGUUCGAACAAGCCUUACCUUAGACAUUAUUUUGUUUAAGGCAUCGUGGGGGUUCGGUAUGACCAUAAACGUUUUUCCCCAAAUUACUUAUGAUGUUUUAGAUUAUAAUUUGCCGAAGGUAGCCUUUAGAACCGGUUAUGAAAUUUUGAAGGCCUUGUUUUUUUUUAUGGUCCUCGGACGUCUCCAAGCCAUUUUAAUAUGGUCGUAGCCUUUAGCUCGGGUGUUGCCCAGUGGGCUUGUUACCCCGAGUUUUUCGGGCUUUCCUAAGAUAACAGUUUCCGAAUGGGAAUGGCCAUAGCCUUUAAGGUUCGGGCGUUGCCUAAUAGGGCUUGUGCCCUCGGGCUUUCUCAGCCCGAGUCGUCCGAGUUUAUUUUUGGACGAUAGUCCCCGAUUGGGAGUGAUCAUUUGAACUUGGGUAAAGGUGGCCCUUGGGCUCAAUACCUUUAAGGGAUCGGAUGUAGGAAAUUCCUUAAGAGGAAAAAAGAAAAAAGAGAAAUUCUUUAAGGGACAAGAUAUUUACCCGCAAGGUAGAAAAUUCUUUUUAUUCUUGUGAGUAAUAAUUACACAUGUGUACAAGUUUUAUGCCAGGUCUCGAGCAGUGUAUGCCGGCACAGUUAAUUUGACUGUUUGGACCUUACAGUAAAUCAUAUCGAUCGAGUCGAGACCAUUCAAUCAUAAAGUUUCCUUCCUUGUUAAAGUCGUUAUCCGAGGGUGAUGCCCCCUAGUGUUCGGGGCCGAGCGUAGAGAGGCCUCGAAUACUGUUGUCAUGAUUUUCGAUACCGAUUCGUAACCGGGCUUCAAUUCUAAGUUGGCACGAUUUAUUGUUGCCUCUUUAAAAACCUUGCUGGAAAACUCAUUUGGGAAAAAACCGGUUCAAGGGAAAAUGAGUGCAACGCGUGCUUUUAGGCCUAAAGAUUGUAUCGUUCUUUGAUGAUUGCCUGCAAGUGUUAGUUCGUAAUGUAAAUAAAUAAAAGGAAAUGAAUGGGAUCGUACCUUAACAGUAGUAUCGCUUCAAGUGAGUUAUGUUCUAGUUGUUCGGUAGUUUCUCACCGUUCAUUGUUCCGAGCUUGUAUGAUCCUUUACCGGUGAUCUCGAUAAUUUGAUAAGGUCCUUCCCAGUUCGGCCCGAGAUUUCCUUCGUUUGGGUUCCGGGUGUUUAGUAUGACCUUCCUUAAUACUAAUUCCCCGACAUUGAAGUGUCGAAGGUUGGCCCUUCGAUUGUAAUAUCUCUCGAUCCGCUGUUUUUGGGCAGCCAACCGGACAAGGGCUUCUUCGCGCCUUUCCUCUAAUAGAUCUAGGCUCGUGUUCAUAGCCUUGUCAUUUGAUUCCUUUGUUGUGUAUCGGAACCUGAGACGUGGUUCUCCGACUCGUAUUAGAGCUUCGGCACCAUAAACCAGUGAGAACAUGGUGGCCCCAAAACUGGACUUCGAGGUCGUACGGUAUGCCCAUAAGAUUUCGGGCAAGAUCCCCUUCCAUUUUCCUUUGGCGUCGGUCAAUCUCUUCUUAAGGUUUUGGAGUAUUGUUUUAUUGGUCGAUUCUACUUAUCCGUUCUCACUAGGGUGGUAGGGUGUUGAUAGGAUCCUUUUGAUCUUAUGAUCUUCGAGAAACUUGCUAACUUUUCUGCCGAUGAAUUGUUUCCCAUUGUCGCACACGAUCUCGACCGGCAUUCCAGACCGGCAUAUGAUGUGGUCCCAAAUGAAAUCGAUGACUUCCUUCUCCCUGAUCUUUUCGUAUGCCUGGACUUCUAUCCAUUUAGAAAAAUAGUUAGUCAUAAACAAUAUAAAUUGAGCCUUACCGGAUGCCCACGGAAGGGGUCCAACGAUAUCCAUCCCCACUUCAUGAACGACCAUGGUGACAAAACCGAAUGCAACAUCUCCCUGGGCUGGUGAAUCAUCAAAGUGUGUCUUUGAUAUUCAUCACUUUUUCGUACAAACUCCUUCGCGUCCUUUUCCAUAUCGAGCCAGUAGUAGCCGGCUGUGAUCACUUUUCGAACCAAUGAUUUGGCGCCUGAAUGAUUUCCACNNNNNNNNNNNNNNNNNNNNNNNNNAAACAUACUUGGUGUCCCCUGGUCCUAGGCAUAUCGCGAGUGGGCCAUCAAAUGUUCUUCUAAACAGGGUUCCCUCUUAGGACAGGCUAAACCGAGCUGCCUUUGUACAUAGGGCCCUCGAUUCUUUAGGAUCUGACGACAGUUUUCCGUCUUUAAGUAUUCUAUAUAUUUAUUUCUUCAGUCCCAAGUUAGGCUCGUUGAGAAUCUCGACAUGACCUUAUUCCACUACCAAUCUCAUAAGUUGUACUACUGCCCCCGAGUUGAACUCGUUGUCCUCUACCGAUCACCCUAGGUUAGCAAGGGCAUCAGCCUCACUUUUUUUAUCCCGAGGUACGUGUUGCACAAUCCAUUCUUUGAAUUGAUAUAAUGUUACCUGCAAUUUAUUCAGAUACCUUUGCAUUCGUUCUUCUCUAACCUCGAACGUCCCAUUAACUUAGUUUACCACAAGGAGGGAGUCGCACUUAGCUUCUAGACCUGCAAUCAUGGCCUCAUACUCGACCUCAUUGUUAGUCAAUUUCAUAGUCCUAAAAUAUUGUCUAACUACAUUGCUUGUUGGCGGCUUCAAUACGAUGCCAAGAUCGGACCCUUUUGCGUUUGAGGCGCCGUCCGUAAAGAGGGUCCAGAUCCCCGAGGAGGUUCUUGAGUUGAUUAAUAACUCUCUUUCGACCUCGGGUAUUAGGAUCAGCGUAAAUUCGGCCAUAAAGUCUGCCAAAAUUUGAGACUUAAAGAUAGUCCGGGGUCGAUAUUCAAUAUCGUACCCACUGAUUUCCACGACCCAUUUGGCCAACCGGCCCGAGAGCUCGGGCUUAUGCAUAAAAUUCCUCAAUGGGUAAGUAGUCACAACACAUAUGGGGUGACACUAGAAGUGUGGUUUUAGCUUUCUAGAGGCGUUUAGCAAAGCGAGCACCAGCUUUUCUAGGUGAGGAUACCUAGUUUCGGCCUCACUUAGGGUCCUGCUAACAUAGUAAAUUGGAAAUUUCAUACCUUGCUCUUCCCGGACCAGGACUCCACUUACCGCUAUCUCUGAUACUGCCAAUUACAAGUAUAGUUGUUCGUCUAUCUUCGGCGUGUGGAGCAGCGGUAGGCUCGAUAGAUACCGCUUGAGUUCCUCCAAGGCAUGUUGGCACUACGGGAUCCAUGAGAAGUUAUUCUUCUUCUUCAAUAGUGUGAAGAACCGGUGGCUCUUUUCGGAGGACCUCGAGAUGAAUCGCCCAAGGGCGGCUAUGCGCCCGGUUAAUCUUUGCACGACCUUCACAUUGUCCAUAACUGUGAUAUCUUCGAUGUCUUUGAUCUUGUCGGGGUUGAUCUGGAUUCCCCGAUUGGAUACCAUGAAUCCGAGGAAUUUACCUGACCCAACUCCAAACGCAUAUUUCUCCAGGUUCAUCUUCAUAUUGUAUUUCUUCAAUAUGCUGAAGGUUUCCUGUAAAUGUUUCAAAUGAUCCUCUGCUCGCAGGGACGUAACCAACAUAUCCUCAGUAUAAACCUCCAUUGAUUUUCCUAUUUGUUCUUCGAACAUCCGAUUUACUAGGCAUUGGUAAAUGGAACUGGUAUUUUUUAACUCGAAUAGCAUCACGUUAUAACAGUAGGUGUCGUAUUUAGUGAUGAAGGAGGUUUUUUCCUGGUCAGAUUCUCCUAAGAGAAGCUUUAGCCUGAGUCCAUCCGUAUUUGGUUGUACCUGGAGUAGGCAUCGAGAAAACUGAGGAUCUCGUGGUCGGCCGUGGCAUCGAUCAUGCGAUCGAUGUUGGGCAAAGGGAAAGAGUCCUUGGGACAUGCCUUAUUCAUAUACUUAUAGUCUACACACAUUCUUAAUUUAUUCCCUUUUUAAGGGACUACCACUACGUUCGCUAACAAAUCGGGGUAUUUAACCUCCUGAAUGGAACCUAUUUUAAGGAGUUUAGAUACCUCGUCCUUGAUGAAAGAAUGUUUGAUCUCGGACUGGGGUCUCCUUUUCUGCUUCAUCGGAUGGGAUUUCGAGGCUUAGCUUAUGAGUGGUUAUUUCUGGCGGGAUCUCUGUCAUGUCAAGGUGGGACAAAGCCAAACAAUCUAUGUUAGCUAUAAGAGACUGAAUGAUUUUUUUCCUGAGCUCGGGAUUUAACCCCGUGCCUAGGUAUACCUUUCGAUCGGGUAGGUGCUCGACCAAUAUGACAUGUUCCAGCUCCUCGAUCAUUGAUUUAGUUUCAUCGGAAUCAUAGGGGGCUAUAAAAGACAUAGGUACCCCGUAAUCAUAAUCAUCGUCUUCAUCAGUCCCUUGUUUCUCCGAUUGGGUCGGAGCUGGUGUCGGUAAUUGCUAUUUAGUUUCUGGCUUUGUGACCAAACUUGACCCAUUUGUCGUUGCAAGUGCGGAUAUCAGAAUUGUCUCUUCAACCGCAAACAUCUCCUUUGCGGUUGGCUGUUCUUCGAAGAUUGUUUUAAUUUCGCCUGGUGUUGGGAAUUUUAACAAUUGGUGCAUAGUUGAGGGUAAUGUCCUCAUGUUGUGGAUCCAUGGCCUUCCGAGCAAAGCGUUGUACCUCAUUUCCCCUUCGAUCACAUAAAACUUAGCUUCCUGGAUGGUCCCGACGGUGUUCACCGAUAACGUUAUAUCACCCUUAGUGGUUUCACAUGCCAUGUUGAAUCCGUUUAGAACUCGGACUGCAAGCACGAUUUGAUCUUGUAGACCGAGUUGCUCCAUGACCCUCGAUCGGAUGAUGUUGGUCGAUCUACCUGAAUCAAUUAGCACACGUUUAACCCGAAUUUUACUUACGAGUACAGAUAUUACCGUGUAUGAUUGUGGGGCUGCACGAUCCCUUCCGCAUCCUCGUCGUUGAAAGACAAGAUUCCUUUCGGUAUGUAAUCUCGAGUUCGUUUCUCCCUUAUGAUGGACACUUUGGUGCGUUUCAACAUCGGUCCCUGAGGGACAUUGACCCCACCAAUGAUCAUGUUAAUGAUGUGUUGAGGUUUUUCUUGUUCACUUUGUUUGUUAGAAUCCCUAUUCCUAAAAUGAUUCUUGGCUCGGUCGCUCAGGAAUUCUCGAAGAUGCCCGCUGUUGAAUAGUCAUCCUACUUCAUCUCUCAACUAUCGGCAAUCCUCCGUUCUGUGGCCGUGAGUGCCGUUAUAUUUAAACAUAUGGUUAGGAUCCCUUUGGGAUGGAUAAAAUUGUAGAGGUCGAGGCCAUUUGGUAUCUUUGAUGCGUCCAAUAACUGAUACAAUGACGCCAACAUCGACAUUAAAGUUGUAUUCUGAUAACCUCGGUGCUUCUUUAGGCCCGAUGGGCCUGUCGAAGCUAUUUUUGCUCAUGAGUCCCUGGUUGUUCUGACCUCGAUCACUUCACUUUUCAUUUCUCAUAGAGUUCCGCCCGGACCCACUGCUUCUUCGGUCUCCAUUAUACUGCUGGUACCGAUCCCUGUUUGGUCUCAGUUUACGAUCGAUGUCUCUCUUGACUCUGUCGAUGUUUCUGACGUGAUAAACAGACUCUGAAGGGGCUCUGAGUUUAUCAUCUUCCACUCUGAUCUUCGAUUGAUACCGGCUAUGCAAGUCGGCCCAAGUAAUAGCUGAAUAUUCUAUUAGGUUUUGUUUCAACUGCUGUGAAGCCACCGAGCUUCGAACGUUGAGCCCUUGGGUGAAAGCCUGAACGGCCCAAUCAUCAGCGACAUGUGGCGGGUUCAUUCGUUCCAUUUGAAACCGGGACACGAACUCUUUGAACAUCUCGUUAUCCUUCUGUUUUCCUUUGAAAAGGUCUGAUUUUCUAGUUUCGGCCUUGAUGGCUCUGGCGUGUGCUUUCACGAAAGAAUCCGAAAGCAUAGCAAAUGAAUCAAUAGAAUUAGGAGGUAAGUUGUGAUACCAUAUCAUAACCCCUUUUGACAAGGUCUCUCCGAACUUCUUCAAUAGGACAGACUCGAUCUCAUCAUCCUCCAAGUCGUUCCCUUUGAUGGCACAUGUGUAAGAGGUUACAUGCUCAUUUGGGUCGGUUGUUUCGUUAUACUUGGCAAUCUCGGGAAUGCGGUAUUUCUUAGGGAUCGGCUUCGGAGCCGCGCUCGGAGGAAAAGGUUUUUGCACGAACUUCUUGGAAUCCAGGCCUUUCAAUAUUGGCGGUGCUCCUGGGAUCUGGUCUAUCCUGGAAUUGUAGGUUUCCACCUUUUUGUCAUUAGUUUCGAUUUUCUUCUCCCCCGAUUCUAUCCGUUUUGUCAGCUCUUCGAGCAUCUUUAUGAUCUCUGGAUUAGCCCCCGAUUCAUAUUCAUUUGACCUUUCUGCGACCGGUUCAUCCCUAUGGGUGACUUCCCGGGGUGGAUCGGGUUAAAAAAUGCCACAAUUAUGAGUGCUACGAGCAAUAGAGGCGAUUUUUUAAAACCCUCACGACGAUCCCCACAAAUUGAAAUUUUAAUUUGUGGAGGUUUUCAGAGACAAUUAAUGCGAUUUAUAACCUCCAAAAAAUAAUACCAAUAUUUUAAAAAAUAUUACUUGUGGGGGUUUAUAACCCCCUUAAUAUGAUCUCGCUGUUUAAAAAAAAUAAUGAAAUAUGAAAUUAAAUAAAUAAUUUUAUUGAAUAACUUAUAACAUAAAUCAAACUCCAUUACAAAUAACCAUAAUAACAAUUAACAAACAUCAAAUGCUCAAAUCCUUAUAAAACUAAACUAAUACUAACUCAUGCAAGGUAACUCAAAAUAUUUAUCAUUCGGAAUGGAAACUUAUAGUACUAUGUAUUUGCUUGGUGAUUUGUAUUGUUGUCACCCGAUAAUUCUUUUGAUGUCACCCGAUGAUCUUCUUACUCCACAAUUAAAGUAGACCCUCACCAUAAAGUUGAAAUAAUAAAAUAUAAAUAUUUUAUGAGAAAACUUGAAGGCCCUACUAUUUCUCUGAUGAUAUGUCAAUCAAAGUAGACUCCAAAAUGUUCAAAUUUAGUUACAGAGAAAAGGAAAAGUACUGGUUACAUAAAAAAGAAACAAAAUAGAAAUUUUCUUGCAGAUAAAUCUGCCACUUGAUUUAAAAAGGGCAUUAUGCUAAAGUUGUUAAAAAGUCACAUGGCAAGAGCUUAAUUACAUAUUUAUUUCCUCGUGUAUCAUCACAAAACACAGUUGCACAAACACCACUGCCUUUCUAGCUUUAAAAAAAAUAUUACUGCCAAAAUAUAGUUAAACUCAAUUGGCUAACACUUGAAUUAAAUUAAAGUAUUAUAAGUUGGUAAUCCAGCACAAUGACUAACAAAGUAAAACUUGCAUUAAAAUCAAAGCUAACAGCAUCUCGGAAAUUAAAGUAGAAGAAAAUAAUAUACUAACAAAAUAGGAUUGGUAAACUAAUAAUUAGUUAAACAAAAUCAAACCAAUGCCAAAACCAUUUAAAGUUAACAUCAAACAAAGUGAAGUCAAUUUUAACAAUGGGACUUUGACAACAAAAUAUGGUUAAACUAAUUAUGUAAUUUGUACCUGUGCAUCAAUUAAUAUGUUGGAAAUGAAGAUAAAUAAAUGUUAUACAAAUAAAUGUGGCAUUUUUCAACCUCAUAAGUCUACCCAUUCAGAGCACUUUGUGCCAGAACAAUUAUGCACUCUGAAUGGAGCUCAGCAGAGGACUAAAUAUUCAAACAUGUAGAUGUCAAUGAUUCAACAUCAAUCCUACAAAACCAGUACACGUUAAAGAAUCAAAGAGGUGAACUUCUUCAAUGUCAAAAUCAAAUUGACGAUUAUAAAUUUCUUAAGAAGCUACAAUUACAUAAUACAUGUAAGAGACAAACUACUGAUCAAAAACCUUAAGCAGUCCUUUUAACUUACAUGCUGGAGCACAGUUUCUUCCAACCUUACUCUGGAAUUUAUGAUAGACACCGUUAUUUUUAUGGAUUAUUUCACUAUGUUUCAAACUUUGCUUCCGCUUUUGUUUCCUUGAUUAUUAGUAAUUUAAAAAUGGUUUAAAAAUUGGUUAACAUUAUUCUAACAUUGGCUUGCCUAGCAAGUGAAAUGUUAGGCGCCAUCACGGUCCGAAGGAAGAAAUUUCGGAUCGUAACAAACUCUCGAAACGACCGGUCGGAUCGUUACACUUGUUUAGCACUUGUAACGUUACAAUUGAAUUGUGACAUCUUUAUUUCUAAUUUGGUCCCUUACCAUGGGCAUGGCUGGCUAUGGUUGCAUAUAUAACAGAGACUGUCAUUUUUUUUGGGUACUAUUUUGCAUAACUACAGAGUAUUGAAAUAUUAUGAAUCCAAAAGAAGCAUUUACAUUGAGCUGAUGUCUACUAGCAUGAGAUUGAGGGAUAAUUGAUUUUGUUGUAGUAUUUGUCACACCCUGUUUUUUCGAAGAUAAGAAAUUUUUUUAAUUAAAGUGACAUUAUUCGAAAUGAGUUUAUUUAUUUAAUUAUAGUCGCCACUUGGAAUAUUUAUUAUGGUGUCCCAAGUCAUCGGUUUGUUUUAAAAUCCCAAAUCGCGGAAAUUGACUCUGUUUUAAAAUCCGCGAAACACAGAAGAUCGGGUAAGGAAUUAUGUUAAAUCGGGGGAAGGUAUUAGGCAUUUUCUGAUUCCGUGAUAUUAGUACGGUCACUUUAAUCAUACCUGACUUAAUUAAUUAUUUAAAUACAUAUUUUUAGAACCUAUGUGUAUUUUACCUUUUACCGCUUUUAAUUAUGGCGUUAUGGACUUAUCUUUGAAACAGAUCACAUGUGCGUAAACCUGUUUUAUUUAGUGCACUAAAAUCAUGUCACGCAUACGUGUCCACAAUUAAUCGCGCUUUAUUAAUUAUUAAGAUUGUUUUUGGCCAAAGUCGUGCGAACACGUACUUUGAUUUAUUUUUGGAAUCAUAAUUAUAUCACGCGAACAUGUACAUUAUCAUGAUGAUAUAUUAGAACGCGCCUAAAGCAUCCUACCAAUAUUCAUAAGUUAAUAUUCUAAACUAACUUUGAGAUUAUUUGUGAAGUGGAAUUAUGGAAAAAGCAUGGUGGACCUGCAUAGGUAGUUUUAGGUUUGACAGAAGACUCAUCGUGAAUCACUACUCUAUUGAAGAGGACGAACACCCCACUGUAAUUCAAAUAUAAAUUCUGGUGAUUUGGUUAAUUAAAGGCAAGCAAGGAUAAUUGAUUAAACUUAGCAACGAUAUUGUAACUAAAUCAAGGCAAACUCAGUUUUAUGAACUAAGCCCAAAUUGAGCCUUCAUCACAAUUAGUUGGGCCUAGCCAUAUGAGCCCAGCCAAGUUCCAGGCGCAGCUCUUAUGGUUUUCGAAUCUGAAGACCCCUGAAAUGGGCCAGCCCAAUUCCAAGCUCACUACAAGCCUUAAACAUAGCCAUUUUCGGAAUUGGGCUCCGAAUGAGGCCCAAAUGACAAAGGAGAGAAGUUACGUCCUCAUAGGCUCACACGAAUAAGAGGAAUAUAUCAAUUACACAAAAAGUUCAACCAAUUUGAAAAAAACAUAAUAUGAGCAGCAUUUGUUGACAUAUUGAUUAGUUACACUCAUUAAUGAACGGAUUUAUUACAAAUGAAAUAAAACAAUAAGGAAAGAAUAAUAUUCAAGGAAAAGAGAGAGGUAAUUCUUAUUGAAUUUCGGAUCAUUUACGAUGGGGUAAAGCCCCUCUAUUUAUAGAGGGAAAAAUGACUUAGCCACACAGUAACAAACUCUCUAAAAGAUAGACAUUCACUCUAAGUACAAUUCUAUUCAUAACACUCCCCCUUGAAUGUCUACUUAAUAGGUAAUGUGCCUUGUUAAAACCUUAACUAAUGGGCAAAAAAUCUAGUAAAGUAAAAAGAGUACACGUAUUUAAUAAUACGUCUUUUGGUUACCUCGUUAAAAACCUUGAAAGAAAAACCCAAUGGGACAAAACCUUGUAAGAAAAAAAGAGUACAACGCGUAUUAACUCCCCCUGAUGAGAGCAUCAAUUCACAUCUUUAAGCCGACAAAACCUUGUAAGAAAAAAAGAGUACAACGCGUAUUAACUCCCCCUGAUGAGAGCAUCAAUUCACAUCUUUAAGCCUUCACAUCCCGAUCUUGUACACUAGCUUCUUGAAGGUUGAUGUCGGUAGAGAUUUGGUGAACAAAUCAGUCAUAUUAUCACUUGAACGAAUAUGUUGCACAUUGAUAUCACCAUUAUUUUGAAGAUCAUGUGUGAAAAAUAACUUUGAUGAAAUGUGCAUUGUCGUAUCUCCUUUUAUGAAUCCUCCAUUCGGUUGGGCUAUGCAUGUUGCAUUGUCGUCAUACAAAAUUGUGGUUAGUUUAUCACAUUUGUCUCGAAUAAGAUGUAUUAUUGACCUCAACCGCACACAUUCUCGACUUGCUUCAUGAAUAUCAAUUAUCUCAGCAUGAUUAGAUGAAGUAGCCACGAUUGAUUGCUUAGUCGAUCGCCAAGAUAUGGCAGUGCCUUCACAGGUAAACACAUAGCUUGUUUGAGAUCGAGCCUUGUGUGAGUCGGAUAAAUACCCAGCAUCGGAAUAAACAACAAGAUCGGGACUGAAAUUAUUGCUAUAAAAUAAUCUCAUAUCAGUAGUUCCUUUUUGAUACUGCAGUAUGUGUUUGAUUCCACUCCAAUGUCUCCUUGUAGAAGCAGAGCUAUAUCUUGCUAAGACAUUAACUGAAAAAGUUAUGUCACGUCGUGUAGUAUUAGCAAGAUACAUUAGUGCACCAAUUGCACUAAGAUAUAGUACUUCAAGACCAAGUAGCUCUUCAUUCUUUACUUGAGGUCGGAACGGAUCCUUAUUCACAUCAAGUGAUCGAACCACCAUCUGAGUACUUAAUGAAUAUGCUUCAUCCAUGUAAAACCGUUUUAAUACCUUUUCUGUGUAGGCAGAUUGAUGAACAAAAAUUCUAUUUGCCAAAUGUUCAAUUUUCAAACCGAGACAUAAUUUUGUCUUUCCGAAAUCUUUCAUUUCGAAUUCCUUCUUUAAAUAAUCAAUUGCCUUUUGGAGUUCUAUAGGAAUUCCAAUAAGGUUUAUGUCAUCAACAUAUACGGCAAGUACAACAAAUUCUGAUGUUAUUUUCUUUAUAAAAACACAUGGGCAAAUGGCAUCAUUUAUAUAACCUUCCUUUAAUAAAUAAUCACUAAGGCUGUUAUACCACAUUCUUCCUGAUUGAUUUAGAGACCAUACAAAGAUCUUUGUAAUUUUAUUGAAAAUAUUUCCCGGGACUUUGAAUUAUAUGCAUCGGGAAUUUUAAAUCCUUCGAAAAUUUUCAUGUAUAUCUCAUUAUCGAGUGAGCCGUAAAGGUAGGUUGUAACCACAUCCAUUAAUUGCAUGUCAAGCUAUUCAUGGACAUCAAAACUAAUGAGAUAACAGAACGUUAUAACAUCCAUAACAAGAGAAUACGUCUUUUCAUAAUCGACAUAAGGCCUUUGUGAAAAUCCUUGUGCAACAAGGCGUACCUUAUAUCUUUGUACCUCAUUUUCUCAUUUCUUUUACGUAAAAGACUCAUUUAUAGCCAACGGGUUUAACACCAUUAGGCGUUUGGAAUACAGGCUCAAAAACUUCACGUUUCACAAGUGAAUCUAACUCGGAUUGGAUUACUUCUUGUCAUUUUGGCCAAUCACGUCUUUGUCGACAUUCUUCAACAGAUUGAGGUUCAAGAUCCUCACUAUCUUACAUAAUGCUAGAUGCAACAUUGUAUGCAAAGACAUAAUCCACCACUAUAUCCCAUUGUUUCAAAUUUGUCUCAAUAUCGAUUGGAUUUAAUGGUAGUUUCUUAUUUUCUUGAGUAUCAUGCUCAGUGAUUUUCUCAUGAAUCUCAGGAUUGGUUAAAUCGUGGAUUUCUUCAUGAAACUCUUUCAUAGUGCCAUAAUGAUCAUUUGUUUUCCUUUUCCUAGGAUUUCGAUCCUUAGAACCCAAUGGUCUAUCACAUUUUAGGCGUGCUUUUGACUCGUUAGCUAUGACACUAGAAGAUUGUCCAACGGGAACAUCAAUACAGAUUGGAACAUUCUUUGCAGGAAUAUGUGAUUUUUUUAUCCUUUUCAGAUCCGUAAAUGCGCCUGAAAUUUGAUUUGAUAUUUUCUGUAAAUGGAUAAUCUUUUGCACCUCUUUUUACAAAUAGAGGCGUGUGGAUCAAGAUGAGAUAAUGAUGGAUUUUUUCAUGAAAUUUCCCAUUUGAUUUCACCAAUUUCUCCCCCUAAUUUUGGAGAAAAUACCUCAUCGAAUCGACAAUCUGCAGAUCGAGCAGUGAACAAAUCUCCCGUUAAUAUUUUGAGGUAGCGAAUAAUGGACGGCGAUUCAAAUCCAACAUAUAUUCCUAACCUUCUUUGGGGACCCAUUUUGGUGCGAUAUGGCGGGGCUACAGGCACAUAUACUGCGCAUCCAAAAAUUCGUAAAUUGGAUAUAUUAGGUUCAUGACCCAAAACUAAUUGCAACGGGGAAUAUUUAUGAUAAUUUGUCGGUCUGAGACGAAGCAUUACUGCAUGCAAAAUGGCAUGACCCCAACAGAAGUGGGUAACCUCGUUUUCACGAGUAACGGUCUUGCAAUCAAUUACAGAUGUUUAAUUAAAGACUCUGCAAGGCCAUUUUGAGUGUGAACGUGAGCUAUAGGAUGUUCCACGUUUAUCCCAAUUGAUAAGCAAUAAUCAUUAAAUACUUGGGAUAAAAAAUUAUCAGCAUUAUCAAGUCGAAUAGACUUAAUUGGAUUAUCGAAAAAUUGUGCCCGUAAUUGAAUUAUUUAUGCCAUUAAUUUUACAAAUGCGGGGUUGCGAGAUGAUAAUAGGCAUACAUGAGACCAUCUAGAAGACGCAUCUAUUAAGACCAUAAAAUAUCUAAACGACCCACUAGGUGGGUGAAUAGGUCCACAAAUAUUCUAAUCGAUAAUGUCAAAGUACAAAAGUAUUGGAAUUAGUAACCUUUUGAUUUACAAUAGAAUGUGCCUCAAUUGAACUUAUUCUUGUCCAAUACAGUCCACUAGACAAAGAUGGGAACUUCUCAAUAAUCCUUUUCUGGCUAGAGACAUUUUUGGUAACAAUGAGAUAUUCAAGGUUAUUCUCAUCUAUUGUCUCAAUAUGAUGUCCAUUUUGACGGAUAUCUUUAAAACUCAACAAGUCCUCUUGUACUUGGAGGAGAACAUUGCAUUAUUUAUGAUAAGCAUUGUUCCCUUAGGUAGAGUUAUAAUAGCUCUUUCAGAGCCUUCAAUUAAAUUACUACUACUAAAAAUUGUAGUAACAUCUGCCUUAUACAUACUUAAAUGAGAGAAAUAUUUCUUCUCUUUGAAUAUAGUAUGUGUCGUAUAUGAAUCAAUUAACUAAAUAUUUUUACAAUUAAAACUUGAUCCAAGUUUGCUUUGUGAGGUAUCCAUACUUGAUUCACAUGGUUUGACAUACAAAAAAAAUAUAUGAAUAAACAUCAGUAUUAUUAGAGAAAAAGAAAAAAUAAAUAAAGUUAAAUCAAUGGUUCAAUAAUGACUUUUAAUGCAAUUUCGAACAAACUCUGAUUAUGAUACAAACAAUUACAUAACUAAUAAUAAUGCAAUUAUUGUCAUAUGUUUUAAAAAAUGUAAUAGUGAACAAAUUGACUGUUAACAUAACAAGAAGUAAAUUUCUCUCUUAUCAUUCUGCUCCGAUUCUUAAAACUUUCCACCAAUAAUUUUUAAUGUAAAACAUGCAAGCCUGAACUCAUUUUGGUAGACAUGGGUUCAGACAGGGGCGGAGCUACAGCAGUGGGUGCAGGUUUAGGCGAACCUUGUUUUUUAUUAAAAUAUUUAUUAAAUUUAUAUAAAUAUAUACUGUCGAACCCAGUAACAAAAGGGGUCUUGAUUCAAUGGUAAGGACUGUGGGUUCGCUGGAAAAUAUGGGGUUCUAUUCCUGUUAAAAACAGUAUUUUAUUUUAAAAUUUAGAACCCACACACUUCAAAUCCUAACUCCGCCUCUGAUUUCAGUGUACUUCUCAAAUAUCAAAAUUGACGGAGAACUCCAAGUUUUAUUAACUAUUAUUUGACUCAUUAAUUGUCCAAGAAUAAAGAACAUUAAGUUCAUUUCUUUGGUGUUAGAUGUUCUUCGUUUUACUAGCCUCUUUCGUCUGUUUAGUACUUAACCAAUUAUCAAUUUGUUGUUUUGCUAGUCAACAGAAAAGUUAAGUAAACCAAAUCAAUAACAAAUAAUGAUUAAUCAAAACAAAGUCAGAUAGAACGAAAGCUUUAUUAAAUAAACGACUAUCGCUAAACUAAUUGAAAAACUAGUAUUGAUGUAAAGACUAUGAUUACAUGAUCUUUAUUCACUAACUACUAUGAAUAGAUAAAAAUCAAACUACUCAAUCAUUUUUAAUCACGGAUCUAUCACCAAUCAAGUGGUCUAUUUUUCCAUUAGGGUGCUCAAAACAAUCUGUCACAUCCAAGUGGGUGAUGUCAAAUUCAUUGUCAUAGACAAAAUUAGCUUCAGGGUCUUUAUUCUUUAGAGGUGCUUGAUAAAACUCAACCAAAUGUCUUGGUCAGUUUCUGAACCAUUUGCCUUGGCUUCUCAUCUUUCCCUUUCCACUUUUGGUGGUUAUUUUUCUUUGGGGGAUGAUUAAUACCAGAAAAUUUUCUUCCUUGUCCGCGGCCGCGGCCACGACCACGAAUAGGGUCACGACCUUUUUCACGCUUAGCAUAAUGGGAAUACACCUCAUCCACUUCAGGCAAUAGUGUAGACCCAAUAGGUCGAUUAUCGUGAUUUCUCUUGAGCAGGUCAUUGUUUCGUUGAGCCAUAAGGAAAGGAGAAAUCAACUCAAAAUACUUCUUGAAACCUUUCUCUCGGUACUGCUAUUGCAGGACCAUAUUGGAGGCAUGAAACGUUGUGAACGUUUUUUCAAGCAUAUGAUAGUUAGUUAUACUAUCUCCACAAAGUUUCCAUUUAGAAGUAAUUCUGAACAUCGCCGAAUUGUAUUAAGAAACAGACUUAUAGUCUUGGAGCCUCAGAUGAGCCAAUCAUAUCGUGCUUGUGGAAGUGUGACCAACUUUAAGUUGUCCUAUUUUUCCUUAAGACAUUUCACAAAAUAAGUGGAUCUUUGACGGUGUGAUAUUCUAUUUUCAACCCUUCAUCAAGGUGAUGGAGCAAGAAAAUCAAGGUCUUAGCACAAUCUUGGGUAGAUGCUUUAUUUUUAUCUUUAAUGGUGUCUCCAAGACCCAUUGCAUCUAAAUGGAUUUCAGCAUCCAACAACCACGACAUAUAGUUCUUGCCCGAAAUUUUAAGGGCAACAAACUUUCGUUUCAUAAUAUCAAACAUUAUUAAAAGAGUAGAAAAAUUAUACCUUAAGUCUUCUCAAAGAGUUUCUUGAGACGGUAGAGUCUCGUGCUGAUAACGUGAAAUAAAACAAUAAGGAAAGAAUAAUAUUGCAAGGAAAGAGAGGUAAUUCUUAAUGAAUUUCAGAUCAUUUACAAUGAGGUAAAGCCCAUCUAUUUAUGGGGGGAAAUGACUUAGCCACAAAGUAACAAACUCUCUAAAUGAUAGACAUUCACUCUAAGUACAAUUCUAUUCAUAACAACAAACCUGUUUUCAACUCAUUUUUACACCCAAAAAAAACUAUCCAUAAGAAAUAGUCUCCAAAUCCUAAACUAAAUAACAACGUAACUGAGAUCAAAUCAAAAUACAAACGAACUCCUCCAUAUUUCUUCUUCAAAAUUCCAGAUCUAUAUAGCACUGGUCAAUACAUUACUACUGGAUAUGGACAUUUCUUCAACUUCAAACCAACCUAAAAAUCUCAAUUCUAACUUCACUUUAACUGGUCAACAUAUAUAAUUUAAAAUAUUUCCAUGAUUACUACAUCAUGAACACUCAUGUUCAGAUUUAUACUAGUUCUAUAUGCUGAAAUUUCAGAUCCAGUUCUACUCGCAAACAAACAUGGCAGAUAAUAUUCAAUCAAACACAUAAAUGACUAAACUACUUUAAGGAACAUUUAUCAAACAUAUAGUCGACCCAUGAUUGCAAGUCUGAUGAUAUUAUAGCAUUUGAGUACUGUUAUAUCGAAGGAGAGUAUCCGUACCUUAACAACAGCCAAAGCAACAAGGAAGAAGGAAAAUAUAACUCCAAUUUUUUAAAAGUGCAGCUAGAAAUCAGAUUCAACCACAACUUGACAACACAACAACAAAUAGCAGAAAUAGAAACUGCACUGAACUUCAAUCCCAAAAAUAUGAGGCCAAAUAGCUGUAAUUGAAGCAAACUGAGAAGAAUUCCUUUUUUAUAUAGCUUUUUCUCAUAUUUUCUGAAAUUUUAACGCUGAAAUUCCAGAACUUUUGCGUGAAAAUGAGAGUAAAGAUGAGUGAAAGGAAAAUGUGUCUGAAAAUGCAGGAAUUAAUAUGUCCUAAAAUCUGUGGGAGGGGUGUCUUUUAUAGCAAAAUGAGAGAAUGAUCUGAAAAUAAUGACAACUCUAAAAAAUAGGGGAAAAGGCAUCUUUCUCUAACAGAUUUUGUAUAACUGUCCCUUUCAGAUGUUCCUCUUUUUCCUUCCAGCCCCCCCCCCCUGUAUUUUAAACCUUAAGUUCUCUUUUGACCUAAUUUCUAUUGUUUUAUUGCUUUUUGGCCCCAACUAAUCUCUUCUGGAACCUUUCCAACAAAUAAUAAAAAGAUUCAAUCAAAAUAUUUAAUUCUCCAAUUACCCUUUUAAGCCUUGUCAAGUACCCUUCAUUAUUUUAGUAUUUGCAAAUCACAGACUUCUUUUACUUGUAUUUACUUUUGUUACCUUUUAAACUCACCCAACCUCACACGUUUGGGCCUGGAUCAAGUGAUAUUAGCCCAAUGACACCUAUCAAUACAAGCCCGAAUUCCUCAAAGCCCAAACAAGAAUCAGGGAACAAAAAUAUGCAAGAGUUUUAGCUAAUUCGACCUUCAAUUAACAGAUGCAGACGAUAUACAAUCAUAGCUGAUUAAACAUGCAUUCAACUAAUCUAAAAAUCUUUAAAUUAUCCUAAACCAAAAAUCAAUUGAACUGAUCAUUUAACACUACAAGCAUAUGACAAACAUUAAGCAUGCUCAAGUAAAUAAAUCAAAAGAAAUUAGGGAUAAAAGCAAAGAAAUUACCGAUGGUGGUCCAACUGUCGGCAAAAGAAACCCGGACAACAACCAAUGCCGUGACAUGAACACUGGUUCAACGCACGAAAGCGGAACCGGUGCUACACAUAACGAUAUCGAUCAACUGGCCGGUAAAAAUCAAUUGAAGAGGUUGGAGGAAUUUGAACCCUAAAGGUCUGCUACCUUGAACGUUCCUUAUGUUCUUGGCUUAUGGUUCGGACGGCUAUGAAUGAGGGAGAGAGAAUGCGAGAAACUAUUUGAAGUUUUCAGAUGGGUCAAACAGAAAUUGACCAGCUCCCAGCGAACAUGAAAUCACAUUAAAACUAACACCAAUCGACAGCUUAUGUCAAAAUCCAUCGUUCGAUAUAAAUUUUAACGUGAAAAGGGGUCAGAAUCGGUCAAGAGAUGAAAAUGGGUGAUUUUGCAUUUUCGCCAAACCUACAUCUAGUAAUCGAAGAGAUCUAGUGUUCUUUUUGGAAAUCUUAUGACGGGAGGGGCAUGAGGAGGUGAUGGGGAGUAUGGGGUGAAAUUUUGGGAGGAUUUAGAGUGCGUCGCCAUCGUAGGCGAUUUCUGGCAGCGGCUCUGAGCGGAUAGUGAGAGAGAUGGAGAAAUGAAGGGGGGGUCUCAUAGGGUUUGGGGGGUAUGUUAGGACAAUUAUAAAGGAUUAGGGAU
This 21666-nucleotide long non-coding RNA is filed under the name Nicotiana tabacum (common tobacco). RNAcentral's name for it is "long non-coding RNA (NTAB_LNC004307)". Lineage: Eukaryota; Viridiplantae; Streptophyta; Magnoliopsida; Solanales; Solanaceae. The record is from RNAcentral.